Molecule: long non-coding RNA, 713 nt
Filed under: Gallus gallus (chicken)
Lineage: Eukaryota; Metazoa; Chordata; Aves; Galliformes; Phasianidae
Description: lncRNA (ENSGALG00010000773.1)
Source: RNAcentral
GGCCUGUCAAGGCCAAGCAAGGAAAGGCUAGGAAAGGCGUGGCAAGAAAAGGCCAGGCAGAGCAAUGCCAGGCAAUGCAAUGCCAGGCAAGGCCAUGCCAGCGCAGACCAGAUGAGGACAGGCAAGGCUAGACAAAGCAAGGGCAGGAAUGGCAAGACCAGGCCAGGCCAGGCAAGGUUAGGCCAGGCAAUUCAAGGCCAGGUCAGGCCAAGCAAGGCAAGGCAAGGCAAUGCAUGGCCAGGCAAGGCAAGGCCACGAAAGGCAAGGCAAGGCCAGGCAUGGCCAGGCAAGGCAAGGCCACGGAAGGCAAGGCAUGGCCAGGCAAGGCAAGGCCACGGAAGGCAAGGCAAGGCAAGGCAUGGCCAGGCAAGGCAAGGGAAGGCCAGUCUGGCAAGGCAAAGCCAGGCAAGGCAAUGCAAGGCCAAGCCAGGCAAGGAAAAGGCCAGGAAAAGGAAAGGCCAGGCAAGGGCAUGCUUGCAGUGCAAGGACAGCAUCCCGUCUGGUGGAUGAGGGAAAGGCUGUUGAUGUGGUCUACCUAGACUUCAGCAAAGCCUUUGACACUGUCUCUCACAGUAUUCUCCUCCAGAAGCUGGCAGAUCGUGGCUUGGACAGAUACAUUCUUUGCUGGGUAAGGAACUGGCUGGAGGGCCGGGCCCAGAGACUGGUAGUGAACGGAGUUAAAUCCAGCUGGCGACCGGACACGAGUGGGGUUC